GAUGAAGAACGCAGCGAAAUGCGAUAAGUAAUGUGAAUUGCAGAAUUCAGUGAAUCAUCGAAUCUUUGAACGCACAUUGCGCCCCUUGGUAUUCCGAGGGGCAUGCCUGUUCGAGCGUCAUUAUAACCCCUCAAGCUCAGCUUGGUGUUGGGGCCUGCUGCACUGGCAGCCCUUAAAAUCAGUGGCGGCGCCAUCUGGCUCUAAGCGUAGUAAUUCUUCUCGCUAUGGAGUCCUGGUGGAUGCUUGCCAUCAACCCCCAAUUUUUCUAUGGUUGACCUCGGAUCAGGUAGGGAUACCCGCUGCACUUAAGCAUAUCAAUAAGCGGAGGA
RNAcentral lists this unclassified non-coding RNA (329 nucleotides) under soil metagenome. Its description in RNAcentral is "partial contains 5.8S ribosomal RNA, internal transcribed spacer 2, and large subunit ribosomal RNA". The stretch from base 1 to 120 matches the Rfam family "5.8S ribosomal RNA", at positions 35 to 154 of the family's 154-position model. The record is from RNAcentral.